Molecule: long non-coding RNA, 373 nt
Organism: Heterocephalus glaber (naked mole-rat)
Lineage: Eukaryota; Metazoa; Chordata; Mammalia; Rodentia; Bathyergidae
Source: RefSeq, a predicted model, not a curated record
GGGGCGCAAGGUCGGUGGGCGGGCGAGGAGGCCGAAUCUGCUCCCUGGAACCUCGGCAGCAUCCACCAGAGAGCGCAGCCCACCAGGAUGAUUUCCCGGGGAUGGCUCUUCGACUCCAGAGCCAAAUAACCACGUAAGAAGAUGAGAACCUUGGGAAUAAGCUUUGUUGGAGAAAGUCUCACCCAUGUCCAGAGCUUCGAGGUUUCCUAGGGAUACACUAGCGGAUAUUUCCAAAAGAGUCUUUUUGACAGACUUCCUUAUAUCACUGCUCUGCCCUGUCCGCGUCAGUGAGCUGCCGCGUUUCCACUUUUCACCACAAGAUGGCAGUGUACCGCAGAAGAAUAGGUGUUCCCAGCAGUCUCCGUAUCUACUC